CGACGUGGAUAACCUGCCUCACACAGGGGGAUAACAGUUAGAAAUGACUGCUAAUACCGCAUAAGCGCACGGCAUCGCAUGAUGCAGUGUGGAAAACUCCGGUGGUGUGAGAUGGAUCCGCGUCUGAUUAGGUAGUUGGUGGGGUAACGGCCUACCAAGCCGACGAUCAGUAGCCGACCUGAGAGGGUGACCGGCCACAUUGGGACUGAGACACGGCCCAA
This 221-nucleotide ribosomal RNA is filed under the name uncultured bacterium. RNAcentral's name for it is "partial 16S ribosomal RNA". It matches the Rfam family "Bacterial small subunit ribosomal RNA", at positions 113 to 334 of the family's 1533-position model. The record is from RNAcentral.